RNAcentral lists this ribosomal RNA (445 nucleotides) under uncultured bacterium. RNAcentral describes it as "bacterial SSU rRNA". It matches the Rfam family "Bacterial small subunit ribosomal RNA", at positions 330 to 792 of the family's 1533-position model. The record is from RNAcentral.
UCCAGACUCCUACGGGAGGCAGCAGUGGGGAAUAUUGCACAAUGGGGGAAACCCUGAUGCAGCGACGCCGCGUGAGUGAAGAAGUAUUUCGGUAUGUAAAGCUCUAUCAGCAGGGAAGAAAAUGACGGUACCUGACUAAGAAGCCCCGGCUAACUACGUGCCAGCAGCCGCGGUAAUACGUAGGGGGCAAGCGUUAUCCGGAUUUACUGGGUGUAAAGGGAGCGUAGACGGCAUGGCAAGUCAGAUGUGAAAGCCCGGGGCUCAACCCCGGGACUGCAUUUGAAACUGUCAGGCUGGAGUGCAGGAGAGGUAAGUGGAAUUCCUAGUGUAGCGGUGAAAUGCGUAGAUAUCAGGAGGAACACCGGCGGCGAAGGCGGCCUGCUGGACCGUGACUGACGUUGAGGCUCGAGAGCGUGGGGAGCAAACAGGAUUAGAUACCCGGGUA